GCCGAAAUAGCUCAGUUGGAGAGCGUUAGACCGAAAGAUCUAUAGGUCCCUGUGGUUCAAUCCGGGUUUUGGCA
RNAcentral lists this transfer RNA (74 nucleotides) under Trichonephila inaurata madagascariensis. It matches the Rfam family "tRNA". From Rfam's summary of the family: Transfer RNA (tRNA) molecules are approximately 80 nucleotides in length. The record is from Rfam by way of RNAcentral. Lineage: Eukaryota; Metazoa; Arthropoda; Arachnida; Araneae; Nephilidae.